UACGAAGGGGGCUAGCGUUGCUCGGAAUCACUGGGCGUAAAGGGUGCGUAGGCGGGUCUUUUAAGUCAGGGGUGAAAUCCUGGAGCUCAACUCCAGAACUGCCUUUGAUACUGAGGAUCUUGAGUUCGGGAGAGGUGAGUGGAACUGCGAGUGUAGAGGUGAAAAUUCGUAGAUAUUCGCAAGAACACCAGUGGCGAAGGCGGCUCACUGGCCCGAUACUGACGCUGAGGCACGAAAAGCGUGGGGAGCAAACAGG
This 256-nucleotide ribosomal RNA is filed under the name uncultured bacterium. RNAcentral's name for it is "partial 16S ribosomal RNA". It matches the Rfam family "Bacterial small subunit ribosomal RNA", at positions 524 to 776 of the family's 1533-position model. The record is from RNAcentral.